Molecule: ribosomal RNA, 250 nt
Filed under: uncultured bacterium
Lineage: Bacteria
Description: partial 16S ribosomal RNA
Rfam family: Bacterial small subunit ribosomal RNA
Source: RNAcentral
UACGGAGGGUGCGAGCGUUAAUCGGAAUUACUGGGCGUAAAGAGUGCGUAGGUGGUUAUAUAAGUUAGCUGUGAAAUUCCUGGGCUUAACCUGGGCGAGUCAGCUAAUACUGUAUGACUGGAGUAUGGGAGAGGGUAGUGGAAUUUCCGGUGUAGCGGUGAAAUGCGUAGAGAUCGGAAGGAACACCAGUGGCGAAGGCGGCUACCUGGCCUAAUACUGACACUGAGGCACGAAAGCGUGGGGAGCAAAC